This is a long non-coding RNA of Dermochelys coriacea (leatherback sea turtle), 483 nucleotides long. RefSeq lists it as uncharacterized. The transcript has 3 exons. NCBI's taxonomy places the organism in Eukaryota, Metazoa, Chordata, Testudines, Dermochelyidae. The record is from RefSeq and is a predicted model, not a curated record.
UUUGUUAGUCUCUAAGGUGCCACAAGUACUCCUUUUCUUUGAGCGAUAGCAAAUCUUUUAGAAAGGCAUCCAGUCUUGAUUUAAAGAUUUCAAAUGAUGGAGAAUCCACUAUGUCCCUAAGUCAGUUGUUCUAAUGCUUAAUGAGCCUAACUUAAAAUGUGCACCUUAUUUCUACUUCCAACGUAUCUAGCUUCAGUUUCUAACUAUUGAAUUUUGUCAUGCCUUUUCUGCUAGAUUAAAGACCCAGCUGUUCGCUAUCAGAAGUCUCUUUCCUAUAUAGGAGUUGUAGACCAUGAUCAAGGCAUCUUCCAUUUCAGUAUCAUUGCCUUCCAGAAUACUGUCUCCCAUCUUAUAGAUGCCUCAUGGUAAAGAUAGUGCUUGUUUUAAAGAAAUGCUGGAGAGUUCGAUCUCAACAUUAGCAGGAGGUCCACAACUGACCCCCAGAGCUCUCACCUUUCUGGUGCCCUGCACUUCAGCUGAACU